This 1038-nucleotide ribosomal RNA is filed under the name Salmonella enterica. RNAcentral's name for it is "bacterial SSU rRNA". It matches the Rfam family "Bacterial small subunit ribosomal RNA", at positions 76 to 1107 of the family's 1533-position model. Lineage: Bacteria; Pseudomonadati; Pseudomonadota; Gammaproteobacteria; Enterobacterales; Enterobacteriaceae. The record is from RNAcentral.
CAGCUUGCUGCUUUGCUGACGAGUGGCGGACGGGUGAGUAAUGUCUGGGAAACUGCCUGAUGGAGGGGGAUAACUACUGGAAACGGUGGCUAAUACCGCAUAACGUCGCAAGACCAAAGAGGGGGACCUUCGGGCCUCUUGCCAUCAGAUGUGCCCAGAUGGGAUUAGCUUGUUGGUGAGGUAACGGCUCACCAAGGCGACGAUCCCUAGCUGGUCUGAGAGGAUGACCAGCCACACUGGAACUGAGACACGGUCCAGACUCCUACGGGAGGCAGCAGUGGGGAAUAUUGCACAAUGGGCGCAAGCCUGAUGCAGCCAUGCCGCGUGUAUGAAGAAGGCCUUCGGGUUGUAAAGUACUUUCAGCGGGGAGGAAGGUGUUGUGGUUAAUAACCGCAGCAAUUGACGUUACCCGCAGAAGAAGCACCGGCUAACUCCGUGCCAGCAGCCGCGGUAAUACGGAGGGUGCAAGCGUUAAUCGGAAUUACUGGGCGUAAAGCGCACGCAGGCGGUCUGUCAAGUCGGAUGUGAAAUCCCCGGGCUCAACCUGGGAACUGCAUUCGAAACUGGCAGGCUUGAGUCUUGUAGAGGGGGGUAGAAUUCCAGGUGUAGCGGUGAAAUGCGUAGAGAUCUGGAGGAAUACCGGUGGCGAAGGCGGCCCCCUGGACAAAGACUGACGCUCAGGUGCGAAAGCGUGGGGAGCAAACAGGAUUAGAUACCCUGGUAGUCCACGCCGUAAACGAUGUCUACUUGGAGGUUGUGCCCUUGAGGCGUGGCUUCCGGAGCUAACGCGUUAAGUAGACCGCCUGGGGAGUACGGCCGCAAGGUUAAAACUCAAAUGAAUUGACGGGGGCCCGCACAAGCGGUGGAGCAUGUGGUUUAAUUCGAUGCAACGCGAAGAACCUUACCUGGUCUUGACAUCCACAGAACUUUCCAGAGAUGGAUUGGUGCCUUCGGGAACUGUGAGACAGGUGCUGCAUGGCUGUCGUCAGCUCGUGUUGUGAAAUGUUGGGUUAAGUCCCGCAACGAGCGCAACCCUUA